UAAAACUACUAGGUUAGAUAUGGUUAGGGUAAAGGGCACAGUCAUUUUUCAUUGAAAAUAAUUCACAACCUUACUUUAAGGUCUUAGAGAAAAGAUUGUGGUCACGGUUAAAAGAGACGGGAUGCAUAUUAUGGUCUCCAGUGUAAAAGUCUGCCAGUUCAUAUAACUGAUCAUCCGUCCUGAACUCUUCUCUAAGUAUUGUUUGCAGAGGUUUAACAAUGUCCGUCUACUGCUGCUUUUAUUCCUAAAGCCUUGGACACACCAGGAACGCCAGGAACGCGUGGCGGCUGCGUUACCUGUUCUUUUUUUAUUUUGGCGUCCGUGUUAACAGGUUAGAGCAGCCAUACUGCCCGCGUGAGAUGCGCGUCACAGAUUACAUAUCUAGACAUCUGUAGAAUAUGUCACAGACAGUGAAAAUGAUCUAUUGACAAAGACCUUAAAUUAA
Sebastes umbrosus (honeycomb rockfish) is the source of this 445-nucleotide long non-coding RNA. RefSeq lists it as uncharacterized. The record is from RefSeq and is a predicted model, not a curated record. Lineage: Eukaryota; Metazoa; Chordata; Actinopteri; Perciformes; Sebastidae. The transcript is spliced from 3 exons.